RNAcentral lists this ribosomal RNA (253 nucleotides) under uncultured bacterium. Its description in RNAcentral is "partial 16S ribosomal RNA". It matches the Rfam family "Bacterial small subunit ribosomal RNA", at positions 524 to 776 of the family's 1533-position model. The record is from RNAcentral.
UACAGAGGGGGCAAGCGUUGUUCGGAAUUACUGGGCGUAAAGGGCGCGUAGGUGGCCUUCUAAGUUGAACGUGAAAUCCCUGGGCUCAACCCAGGAACUGCGUCCAAGACUGGGAGGCUUGAAUCCGGGAGAGGGAUGCGGAAUUCCAGGUGUAGCGGUGAAAUGCGUAGAUAUCUGGAGGAACACCGGUGGCGAAGGCGGCAUCCUGGACCAGUACCGACGUUCAGGCACGAAAGCGUGGGGAGCAAACAGG